RNAcentral lists this microRNA precursor (141 nucleotides) under Equus asinus (donkey). The record is from RNAcentral. Lineage: Eukaryota; Metazoa; Chordata; Mammalia; Perissodactyla; Equidae.
GGCGGAGAAACAGGGUCACAGAAGCUGGUCUGAGAUGUUCGAAAGGAGGUUGUCCGUGAUGUAUUUGCUUUGUUUGUGGCAGAUAUUGCACGGUUGAUCUCUUUUCAUCAUCAAAUGCCUUCUCGAAGGACUUGCUGCGCG